AUCUAGGGGAAGGAGUGAUUGU
Molecule: microRNA, 22 nt
Filed under: Monodelphis domestica (gray short-tailed opossum)
Lineage: Eukaryota; Metazoa; Chordata; Mammalia; Didelphimorphia; Didelphidae
Description: mdo-miR-12299-5p
Source: miRBase by way of RNAcentral